GGUUUAAUUCGAUGAUACGCGAGGAACCUUACCCGGGCUUGAAUUGCAGAGGAAGGAUUUGGAGACAAUGACGCCCUUCGGGGUCUCUGUGAAGGUGCUGCAUGGUUGUCGUCAGCUCGUGCCGUGAGGUGUCGGCUUAAGUGCCAUAACGAGCGCAACCCCUCUCCUUAGUUGCCAUCAGGUAAAGCUGGGCACUCUGGGGACACUGCCACCGUAAGGUGUGAGGAAGGUGGGAUGACG
RNAcentral lists this ribosomal RNA (240 nucleotides) under uncultured bacterium. RNAcentral's name for it is "partial 16S ribosomal RNA". It matches the Rfam family "Bacterial small subunit ribosomal RNA", at positions 943 to 1184 of the family's 1533-position model. The record is from RNAcentral.